Molecule: long non-coding RNA, 698 nt
Filed under: Physcomitrium patens
Lineage: Eukaryota; Viridiplantae; Streptophyta; Bryopsida; Funariales; Funariaceae
Description: long non-coding RNA (PPAT_LNC006786)
Source: RNAcentral
UCAUACUGUUGGAAAGUUGUGUUGUACUAGAAGAAUACGUUAUCGUAUCUUGUGAAAUUUGGCUUGAAAAUGCUUCAAGUACUUGCUUAUAGAAGAUAAAGGAAAAUUGCAACAACAAGUCUUAAAAAUUUUAAUAGAUUCUUAAAUAAAUUAUAAUUAAAAAUUAGCAAAUAUAAUCAAAUAUUAAUCAAAUUUAAUUAAAAUUUCAAAAGAAUUAUAUAAGAAACACAAAGAAUUUCUAGAGAUGAUUUAAAGAAAUCACAAAAAAAUAAUAUAGAAAUUUAAAAAUAAAUAUAUUAAAAUAUCUAAUCGAACCUUGAUCAAACCUUAAUCAAACCUAAAUCAAAUCUUAGUCAAAUUUUAAUCAAACUUUAGUCAAAUUCUAAAUAAGCCUUAACAAAAACCUAAACAAAUCCUACUCAAAUCCUACUCAAAUCCUAAUAAAAUCUUAAUGAAAUCCUAAUAAAAUUCUAAAAAAAUUCUAAUCAAAUCUUAACAAAAUUUCAAUCAAAUCUUAAAUAAAUCCUAGUAAUAUCCUAAGUAAAUCCUAAUCAAAUUCUAAAUAAAUCCAAGUCAAAUCUAGACAAAUCUUAAAUAAGUCCUAAUCAAAUCCUAAACAAAUCCUAGUCAAAUCUUAAUCAAAUCCUAAUCAUAUCCUAAAUAAAUUCUAAUCAAAUGCUAAAUAAAUCCUACUCAAA